Molecule: small RNA, 1540 nt
Filed under: Arabidopsis thaliana (thale cress)
Lineage: Eukaryota; Viridiplantae; Streptophyta; Magnoliopsida; Brassicales; Brassicaceae
Description: ATSL080940
Rfam family: MIR2933 microRNA precursor family (bases 905-1016)
Source: RNAcentral
AAAAUUUAACUUGAAUUAAAUAUAAUAUAAUAAUUAUGAUUAAUAAAGAUCAAGAUGGACUGUUAGGUUUUCGUGGCAGAUCAUUUUUUCUCUUGAACUGCUUAUAUUUGCUCUUGCAUGUUUCCAAAAACAGUUCAAAUAUUAUUUUCAUUUUUAUAAAAAUAAUUCACUCUAAUGCCUUUUUCUCAAUGCCCUUUUGCAACUCUACCAUUUUUUUUCCCAUUUUCAUUUCUAUCCUUUCUAAUACUUUUCUCUCCAAAUUACCCUUAAUGAGCUACCCACAGACCUAAUUCAUUUCUUCACUCUCUCUCUUCUUCCUCCAUCGGAAAUUGUGAAUGCCGUUGAAUCCCAUGCCGUCGGAAAUAAUGAGUUUACUCGCCGUGAAAACCCAUCUUCGCCGUCGUAAGUAGAGCUAUGUGUCGCCGUCGAAUCUCUUGCGUUUCCCAGGUUUGAUUUUAUAAUGUUAGCUUAAAUCUUCGUUUUCGAAUUGGUUUAUUCGAUUUUUGUUGUUGAUUCUGUGAACUCGUUAUUUGAAUCCUGAUUCAAUCGACAGUUUGACAUUUGCUUCAGCUUCGAAUUUGAAUUUUGUUUGAGAUUUGAUGAUUGAAUUUGUUUCUAAAAUCCUUGUACAUUCGUUAUAUUGUUCUAAAAUCCUUUUGAAUUCGUUAUACUGUUUCGUGAUAGAUUUGCUUAUGUGAAUUCGUUAUACUAUUUCGUAAUAGAUUUUGGUUCUGAUUUAGUGUUUACCGUCGGAUCUAUCGAUAUCUCUGGGGAUUGUUUGCGUCGUAGAGAAAUGAUCUGAAUCCUUCAGCGAAGAACAGGUUUAUCGGAGAGGAAAUUCGUCGGCGAUUUUGGGGUUUCUCAGAAAGAAAAUUCGUCGGCGAUUUUGAGUAAAAUCGGAGAGGAAAUUCGUUGGCGAUUUUGAGUGAAAUCGGAGAGGGAAUUCGUCGGCGAUUUUGAGUGAAAUCAGAGAGGAAAUUCGCCGGCGAUUUUGAGUGAAAUCGGAGAGGAAAAUCAGAGAGGAAAACGAAGAAGUUUGUGGCAAAACGAAGAAGUUUGUGAAACCAACGUGAAACCUAAUCAUUCAGAGGGUAAGACAGUCAUUUGGCAUAUUAGAAGGGGUAGUUUUAAAAAUGGCCUUUAGGAAAGGGCACUUUUACAAAAGGUUAUUAGAAUAAGGGCAGUUUUGCAAAUCUCCCUUUUUAUAAUCAUGAUACACUUUUACUGUAUCAAAAUUGUUGAAUGGGUAACUAAAAGUGGUACGUCCCACCUUGCAGUUGCUCCGCCAUUAGCCCGCAGUUCCAUUCAAAGCCAAAAAGCAACGACCUCUGAAAGAAUUUAAAAAUAUGGAUUUCAAGAAUACUUAUAGUCAUAAAAUAUAUGAGUUGAGAGACCAUUAUAUUUAAAACAAAUAUCAAAUAUGGGUUUCAAGAAUAGACUUGUAUGUUAAAUAAUUCGAAAACCUAUUUUCAAAAGUAUCUUUAAUAAGUAUUUCUUUACUGAAAACAAAAUAUAACUGCUAAAAAAAUACGUUAAAAAA